RNAcentral lists this ribosomal RNA (603 nucleotides) under uncultured fungus. RNAcentral describes it as "eukaryotic LSU rRNA". It matches the Rfam family "Eukaryotic large subunit ribosomal RNA", at positions 23 to 641 of the family's 3401-position model. The record is from RNAcentral. Lineage: Eukaryota; Fungi.
ACCCGCUGAACUUAAGCAUAUCAAUAAGCGGAGGAAAAGAAACCAACAGGGAUUGCCCUAGUAACGGCGAGUGAAGCGGCAUCAGCUCAAAUUUGAAAUCUGGCUCUUUUAGAGUCCGAGUUGUAAUUUGCAGAGGGCGCUUUGGCUUUGGCAGCGGUCCAAGUUCCUUGGAACAGGACGUCACAGAGGGUGAGAAUCCCGUACGUGGUCGCUGGCUAUUGCCGUGUAAAGCCCCUUCGACGAGUCGAGUUGUUUGGGAAUGCAGCUCUAAAUGGGAGGUACAUUUCUUCUAAAGCUAAAUAUUGGCCAGAGACCGAUAGCGCACAAGUAGAGUGAUCGAAAGAUGAAAAGCACUUUGGAAAGAGAGUCAAACAGCACGUGAAAUUGUUGAAAGGGAAGCGCUUGCAGCCAGACUUGCUUACAGUUGCUCAUCCGGGCUUUUGCCCGGUGCACUCUUCUGUAGGCAGGCCAGCAUCAGUUUGGGCGGUAGGAUAAAGGUCUCUGUCACGUACCUCUCUUCGGGGAGGCCUUAUAGGGGAGACGACAUACUACCAGCCUGGACUGAGGUCCGCGCAUCUGCUAGGAUGCUGGCGUAAUGGCUGU